UGUAAUCUCGGCUCACUGUAAGCUCUGCCUCCUGGGUUCAAGCAAUUCUCCUGCCUCAGCCUCUCCAGUAGCUGGGACUACAGAUGGCCACCACCUGUAACUGUAAAAAGCCCUGAUAACAGCUGGAAAUAAGCACAGCAUUAAAGAGGAAAUCAGUAAAGGACCAUUAUCUAGAUUAUAUGGAAGAGAUUUUUAGUAAGUUUCAUUCUGAUGUUAGAAUGACACGAAGAUGGCUAUGAAAGCCUGUAAGCACUUUCCAAUAGUACUCUGCAUUUAUGACUCAAUUUAUGUGAGUUCUCUUCUACAAGGUUUGAAGAGCAAAUACCUGUUCACAGAGAUGGCAGUUGUUUUCUGAGAGACUGUGGGGUUUUCAGUUCUUUUGGCUCCUCUGAAACUCAUUUGACAUCUCUGAGAGUUUCCUCAUCUUUAAAGUAGGGAUGAUCUCAACAUUCCCUUGCUUAAUAGCAUAAGAAAAAGAUAGCAUCUCUUGGUACAAAAUCUCUUGGUUCAUAAAUUUUUUGAAUAUACAUGUAUAUUUGUAAUAUAUGUUUAUUCUCCAGGUGCAGUGGUGGGCACCCCAGCUACUCAGGAGGCUGAGGCAGGAGGAGAGCUUGAGCCCAGGAGUUCAGCCUGGGCAAUGUAGUAAGACCAUGUCUCUACAAAAAAAAAAAAAAAAAAUUAUAUUCUUUUAUAUUAUAUUACUUUUUAAAUUAAUACUUAUAUUUCAGGUCCAUACAUUAGAAGCUAACUCCCAUUUUUAAUUGCUGUGAAGUAUUCUGUGAAUGUACCUUAGUUUAUUUAAUCAAUCCUCUAUUGAUGGAACAUUGGAGGAAAUUAUUUUUAUUAAAUAACACUGCAGUGAACAUCUGUACAUGCA
This is a non-coding RNA of Macaca mulatta (Rhesus monkey), 877 nucleotides long. The record is from RefSeq and is a predicted model, not a curated record. NCBI's taxonomy places the organism in Eukaryota, Metazoa, Chordata, Mammalia, Primates, Cercopithecidae.